RNAcentral lists this ribosomal RNA (442 nucleotides) under uncultured bacterium. RNAcentral describes it as "bacterial SSU rRNA". It matches the Rfam family "Bacterial small subunit ribosomal RNA", at positions 355 to 794 of the family's 1533-position model. The record is from RNAcentral.
UGAGGAAUAUUGGGUCAAUGGGCGGAAGCCUGAACCAGCCAUGCCGCGUGAAGGAAUAAGGCCCUAUGGGUCGUAAACUUCUUUUGUGGUGGAGCAAUAAGACGUACGUGUACGUCGAUGAGAUUACAUCAUGAAUAAGCAUCGGCUAACUCCGUGCCAGCAGCCGCGGUAAUACGGAGGAUGCAAGCGUUAUCCGGAUUUAUUGGGUUUAAAGGUGCGUAGGCUGUUUGACAAGUCAGUGGUGAAAGCCCGGGGCUUAACUCCGGAAUUGCCGUUGAUACUGUUGAGCUGGAAUACGGAUGCCGUGGGAGGAAUGAGUAGUGUAGCGGUGAAAUGCAUAGAUAUUACUCAGAACACCGAUUGCGAAGGCAUCUCACGAAUCCGUCAUUGACGCUGAGGCACGAAAGCGUGGGGAUCAAACAGGAUUAGAUACCCUGGUAGU